RNAcentral lists this ribosomal RNA (554 nucleotides) under Tetranemertes bifrost. RNAcentral describes it as "SSU rRNA". It matches the Rfam family "Eukaryotic small subunit ribosomal RNA", at positions 583 to 1140 of the family's 1831-position model. Lineage: Eukaryota; Metazoa; Nemertea; Enopla; Monostilifera; Poseidonemertidae. The record is from RNAcentral. RNAcentral also lists the same sequence under 6 other names.
UUCCAGCUCCAAUAGCGUAUAUUAAAGCUGUUGCAGUUAAAAAGCUCGUAGUCGGAUUUCGGGCGGCGGCCAGUGGUUCGGCUCCGUGCCGAUACUGCUGGUCGCGGCCUCCACGCCGGUCGUCUUUCGGUGCUCUUAGCUGAGUGCCUUAAGUAGCCGGAGCGUUUACUUUGAAAAAAUUAGAGUGUUCAAGGCAGGCCACAAGCCUGAAUGAUGGUGCAUGGAAUAAUGGAAUAGGACCUCGGUUCUAUUUUGUUGGUCUUCGGAACUGGAGGUAAUGAUUAAUAGGGACGGACGGGGGCAUUCGUAUUGCGGCGUUAGAGGUGAAAUUCUUGGAUCGUCGCAAGACGGACUACUGCGAAAGCAUUUGCCAAGAAUGUUUUCAUUGAUCAAGAGCGAAAGUCAGAGGAUCGAAGACGAUCAGAUACCGUCCUAGUUCUGACCAUAAACGAUGCCGACUAGCGAUCCGGCUCCGUUGCUUCUUAAGACUGGCCGGGCAGCUCCCGGGAAACCAAAGUCUAUGGGUUCCGGGGGAAGUAUGGUUGCAAAGCUGA